GUAGGUGGCAAGCGUUGUCCGGAAUUAUUGGGCGUAAAGCGCGCGCAGGUGGUUCUUUAAGUCUGAUGUGAAACGCCCCCGGCUCAACCGGGGAGGGUCAUUGGAAACUGGGGAACUUGAGUGCAGGAGAGGAAAGUGGAAUUCCACGUGUAGCGGUGAAAUGCGUAGAUAUGUGGAGGAACACCAGUGGCGAAGGCGACUUUCUGGCCUGUAACUGACACUGAGGCGCGAAAGCGUGGGGAGCAAACAGGGAUUAGAUACCCUGGUAGUCCACGCCGUAAACGAUGAGUGCUAAGUGUUGGGGGGGUUUCCCGCCCCUCAGUGCUGCAGCUAACGCAUUAAGCACUCGCCUGGGGAUACGGUCGCAAGACUG
Molecule: ribosomal RNA, 373 nt
Filed under: uncultured organism
Description: partial 16S ribosomal RNA
Rfam family: Bacterial small subunit ribosomal RNA
Source: RNAcentral